Molecule: ribosomal RNA, 422 nt
Filed under: uncultured bacterium
Lineage: Bacteria
Description: bacterial SSU rRNA
Rfam family: Bacterial small subunit ribosomal RNA
Source: RNAcentral
GGGCCCGCACAAGCGGUGGAGCAUGUGGUUUAAUUCGAUGAUACGCGAGGAACCUUACCAGGGCUUAAAUGUAACGGGACAGAUCUAGAGAUAGAUCCUUCUUCGGACUCAUUACAAGGUGCUGCAUGGUUGUCGUCAGCUCGUGCCGUGAGGUGUCAGGUUAAGUCCUAUAACGAGCGCAACCCCUAUCCUUAGUUGCCAGCGGAUAAUGCCGGGAACUCUAGGGAGACUGCCCUGGAAAUCGGGGAGGAAGGUGGGGAUGACGUCAAGUCCUCAUGGCCUUUAUGUCCAGGGCUACACACGUGCUACAAUGGGCGGUACAAAGGGUCGCCAAAGCGCGAGCUGGAGCUAAUCCCAAAAAACCGUCCUCAGUUCGGAUUGCAGUCUGCAACUCGACUGCAUGAAGUUGGAAUCGCUAGUAA